Molecule: long non-coding RNA, 512 nt
Filed under: Sitophilus oryzae (rice weevil)
Lineage: Eukaryota; Metazoa; Arthropoda; Insecta; Coleoptera; Curculionidae
Description: uncharacterized LOC115874983
Source: RNAcentral
AAAGAAGUUUACAUUCAUAACUCAUCUAACCAUUAUAGAUCAGUAAUGUCGUCAUAAUUUAAAUGAACUCACAGAUAGCAAUGGGGCACUGCACCGAAGCAGUAUUACAAAAUAUGUGAAAUAAAACUGUAAUACAAAUUGCUCUAUAAAAUUUAAUAGAAAUAAAUUUAUUUAUGAAAAUUAAGUUAUGAAGUUUUAUUUUUCCUAGGAAAAAAAUAACAUUUAUAUUUUGAUCAAUUUAGAACAUUACAGUUAAAAAAAUAUGUGUUAGAAUAACAUAUUUUUAAUAAAAUUGCAGCUUUUAAUUUUUAUACUUUUUUGCUUUUAUAUCAAUAAGAACUAACGUAAGGAACAAUUCAUAUUUAUACUAUGAAAACACAUGCAUAUUUUUUGAUGUUUUUAAAACCAGUGAAUGAUGUUGAAAUAUACUACACCUAUUAUUCUUAUUAACUAACUUUAAUUACAAACUUACACAUUAUUGUCAUUGGAAAUAAAUUAAUUUGGAUAUUCUA